ACUGGAAUAGCUGGGUCAAAGGGUGGUUCCAUUCCAAGUUUUCCAAGAAAUCUGCAUACUGCUUUCCAGAUUGGUUGCACCAAUUUGCAGUCCCAAUGGCAAU
RNAcentral lists this microRNA precursor (103 nucleotides) under Marmota monax (woodchuck). The record is from RNAcentral. Lineage: Eukaryota; Metazoa; Chordata; Mammalia; Rodentia; Sciuridae.